GUGCCAGCCGCCGCGGUAAUACGUAGGUGGCAAGCGUUGUCCGGAUUUAUUGGGCGUAAAGCGAGCGCAGGCGGUUUCUUAAGUCUGAUGUGAAAGCCUUCGGCUCAACCGAAGAAGUGCAUCGGAAACUGGGAAACUUGAGUGCAGAAGAGGACAGUGGAACUCCAUGUGUAGCGGUGAAAUGCGUAGAUAUAUGGAAGAACACCAGUGGCGAGGGCGGCUGUCUGGUCUGUAACUGACGCUGAGGCUCGAAAGCAUGGGUAGCAAACAGGAUUAGAUACCCUGGUAGUCCAUGCCGUAAACGAUGAGUGCUAGGUGUUGGAGGGUUUCCGCCCUUCAGUGCCGCAGCUAACGCAUUAAGCACUCCGCCUGGGGAGUACGACCGCAAGGUUGAAACUCAAAGGAAUUGACGGGGGCCCGCACAAGCGGUGGAGCAUGUGGUUUAAUUCGAAGCAACGCGAAGAACCUUACCAGGUCUUGACAUCCUUUGACCACUCUAGAGAUAGAGCUUUCCCUUCGGGGACAAAGUGACAGGUGGUGCAUGGUUGUCGUCAGCUCGUGUCGUGAGAUGUUGGGUUAAGUCCCGCAACGAGCGCAACCCUUAUUACUAGUUGCCAGCAUUUAGUUGGGCACUCUAGUGAGACUGCCGGUGACAAACCGGAGGAAGGUGGGGACGACGUCAAAUCAUCAUGCCCCUUAUGACCUGGGCUACACACGUGCUACAAUGGAUGGUACAACGAGUCGCGAGACCGCGAGGUUUAGCUAAUCUCUUAAAACCAUUCUCAGUUCGGAUUGUAGGCUGCAACUCGCCUACAUGAAGCCGGAAUCGCUAGUAAUCGCGGAUCAGCAUGCCGCGGUGAAUACGUUCCCGGGCCUUGUACACACCGCCCGU
This 892-nucleotide ribosomal RNA is filed under the name uncultured bacterium. Its description in RNAcentral is "bacterial SSU rRNA". It matches the Rfam family "Bacterial small subunit ribosomal RNA", at positions 505 to 1397 of the family's 1533-position model. The record is from RNAcentral.